RNAcentral lists this ribosomal RNA (406 nucleotides) under uncultured bacterium. RNAcentral's name for it is "partial 16S ribosomal RNA". It matches the Rfam family "Bacterial small subunit ribosomal RNA", at positions 30 to 526 of the family's 1533-position model. The record is from RNAcentral.
AUUGAACGCUGGCGGCAGGCCUAACACAUGCAAGUCGAACGAGUGGCGGACGGGUGAGUCAUGUCUGGGAAACUGCCUGAUGGAGGGGGAUAACUACUGGAAACGGUAGCUAAUACCGCAUACCAUCAGAUGUGCCCAGAUUGGAUUAGCUUGUUGGUGGGGUAACGGCUCACCACGGCGACGAUCCCUAGCUGGUCUGAGAGGAUGACCAGCCACACUGGAACGAGGCAACGGUCCAGACUCCUCCGGAAGGCAGAAGUGGGGAAUAUUGCACAAGGGGCGCAAGCCUGAUGCAGCCAUGCCGCUUGUAUGAAGAGGGCCUUCGGGUUGUAAGGUACUUUCAGCGGGGAGGCGUUACCCGCAGAAGAAGCACCGGCUAACUCCGUGCCAGCAGCCGCGGUAAUAC